Molecule: ribosomal RNA, 250 nt
Filed under: uncultured Chroococcidiopsis sp.
Lineage: Bacteria; Bacillati; Cyanobacteriota; Cyanophyceae; Chroococcidiopsidales; Chroococcidiopsidaceae
Description: partial 16S ribosomal RNA
Rfam family: Bacterial small subunit ribosomal RNA
Source: RNAcentral
CUAGCUGUAAACGAUGGAUACUAGGCGUUGAGAGUAUCGACCCUCUCAGUGUCGUAGCUAACGCGUUAAGUAUCCCGCCUGGGGAGUACGCGCGCAAGCGUGAAACUCAAUGGAAUUGACGGGGGCCCGCACAAGCGGUGGAGUAUGUGGUUUAAUUCGAUGCAACGCGAAGAACCUUACCAGGGCUUGACAUGUCCGGAACCCUGCCCAAAGGCGGGGGUGCCUACGGGAACCGGAACACAGGUGGUGC